UGACAAUUUCAUUGAAACCAAAGAAAUGAUAAAUUCAUAAUCUUCUUAAGGAAUCAUAUUUGUACAUUGAAGCCAUAAUUCAUUUGCCCGACUUUUAACAAUCCAGGAAAUUCAUAGGUUAAAAAUAAAUACUAGAGACAUGGUUGCCCCUAAAGUACUAUCCUGUCCUAGAUGCAGGCUUUCCAGUUUUCCAACAAGCAUCUUCCCUAUAAUAUCGUAUCAUUUCAAUACCUUUUUACAAGUAAUUUGUGACGAGACCUUUGUACUUGUAACACCGGUUUGUGUUCUGUUAAAUUGUUAAAUUGUUUCACUUUCCGUUCCUUUCUUGGACAAUUCUUUGAUGCUGUAUUAUUCUUUUUUAUUUUUUAUGCAUUUUUUGUAUCAUGCAUGCAUAUAUAUCCUGCAUGUAAAAGAAACAGAUAUGCCGUAACAUGGAAUAGCUAUACUAGGAAUAACUAGUCAGAGCUUAGAACAUAGACCCUCUUUUUUUCUUUCUUGUAUUAACAUUUUUUUUUAACAUUUCAAUAUUUUUUUAUCUAUUUAAUCCGGACUAAAGGCAGCACAUUUAAACUAGUGUGUAAAUUGUAAAAUUGUAGUUAAAUUACGAAAGCAAGCACAAAUGAAGAUAAGUUAAACAUAAAAUAAUGAAUUUAUUACAAAUCUUUUAAAACAAAUAGAAGAAAGGGUGAGAAAAAAGGGUACCCAUGCCCAAUCGCCUAUUUAUCGUGAAUAAUACUUGAGGGUCUGGGUUUACAGAAUAUAGAAUUAUGGGGGAAACGCAGAAUAACGAACAAAACAUAUAACAUAAAGAGAAAAAAAGACCAAAAAUAUAAAGAAUAGAAAAUAAAAGGGUGAUCAAAUAGAGAAUAAUGAGAAAAAUUAUAAAGAAUAGAAAAAAAAUAUUUAAAAAAAUUAAAGAAUACAAAAUCGAUUGAGUCAGGACCAUUUAUCCAGACCCUUAUACUUUUGUAGUCCAAUUUUAUAAGCAUAUUAUGUUAUUUGAAGGGUAUAAAAUGAAAACACAUUAAUAACCCCUAUGAAUUGACACAGAUUCAAAUAAUUUACAACAUUCGAUUUUUUUAAUUUAUGUUAUCAAACUAGUGUCGCAUAUCUGUCAGAAGUUGUUAAAAUAUUACUAAUUACACCAAACAACUCGCGGCUUAAAAGCCUUUUAUCAAUUUUAUGUAAUGCACGCGUACGUUGAUUGUAGGCCCCCUAGUGUUACCACAUGUCGAGAAGACUUCAAAUGGAAACACAAGAUAAUUAAUUACAAGACGACACGGAUCAAUAAGUUUGUAUAUGUAUGAUUACUUGGUAUUAUUCUCUAUGUACGUGCAACGAAGAUGACAGACAAGUGGACAUUAGAAGGAGGAAGUUGAAAAUAGACGGGAACUGUCUUAAAUUCCAGUUUCGUAUAUAUGCAACAUUCAUCACAGUUCAAGAAAUUGGAGAAAACAAAGACUAGUACAGAACAUAAUGAAGAGCAAGAAUCAUUCAACAUGUUCAAGGAAAACUAUCAGAAUGAGGAUAAUAAAGAGAUAGCUUUGGUUGAACGAAAUAAUGGAAACAUGUAUUUGGGAAUAUUAGAAGAUACAAAGCUGACAUUUACAAAGACAAUUGUUGGAAAAGUUAAGAAGAGUUUAAAGAUGAAAAAUUCCAGCUAUAUCAUUAAAAGAUCAGAUGUCCAAACGAUUGAUACCAAAUACAUUAUAACGAAGACAGACUUGUGUGAAAAAAAAACCCAGAAUUAUUCCAACAGAUGACCAUUGACAAAACAUUAAACAAAAUGUUCAGGAUUAUAUAAGACAACACAAAUGACUUUCAAAUUGAUGUAUUUUUUAAAAUGUUUGUAUGCCAUCACAUGAUAAAUCGAAACAAUAAGGAAAUUGAUUUUUGGCCAUAUAGCAUUACGUUUGUUUUACAUGCUUUCUGAACUGUUCCUCUAGAAUAUUUGUGAUAAGAUAAAUUGGACAUAAUCAUAAUUGCAAUCAUUUUGGAAUAUUUAAUAGUAUUAAAAAUGAGAGCGGAAAAAAGGUAUAAUUCAUGAUCAUGAACAAAACAUUCUUUAUCAGUUUGACUGUCAUGACUGUAAUAAAUAACACCGUUGGAAUUUUCUUUUAAAUUUUUUUAAGUUUAAUCAUGUCGAGUACUUUUAUAAAUGACUAUACCAUCCUGUUUUUUUAUUUUAAUCAUGGUUGAAACAUUGAUGGAGUAAUUAUUUUCUGUUUCCUAAAUGUACUUAUUUAAUUAUUUUGUGAAUAUAUUUAAUACUAUCAAAAUUCACAAUUAUUAAAACAUCCUAUGUUGCAAAAAAGAUAAACAUUUCAAAGGAUUUUCCAAAUAAAGUUUAUUUCAUUUAUAUCACAAUAAUCAUAAAGCAAUUUCAAUGUAGAAUAAAUUUAUUCUGUGU
Molecule: long non-coding RNA, 2410 nt
Organism: Mytilus californianus (California mussel)
Lineage: Eukaryota; Metazoa; Mollusca; Bivalvia; Mytilida; Mytilidae
Exons: 3
Source: RefSeq, a predicted model, not a curated record